Non-coding RNA from Paramuricea clavata, 325 nucleotides. Lineage: Eukaryota; Metazoa; Cnidaria; Anthozoa; Malacalcyonacea; Plexauridae. The record is from the annotation of a GenBank genome assembly.
CCCGCAUUGGAAUAUGCAGCGCCAGUCUUCCAUCACUCUCUACCACAGUAUCUGGCAGAUGAUUUAGAACGUGUCCAGCAAAGAUCAUUGGGAAUUAUAUUUAAAUGCGAAAAGUAUAAUAAAUGCUUAGAGUAUUCUGGGCAAGAAACUUUAGUCAAUCGAAGGCAAAUGUUAUGUUUGAAGCUGUUUGAUUCGAUAACAUCAAACUCAGAUCACAAACUUUAUAAACUUUUACCCCCAAAGAAGAAGCAGACAUAUAAUCUGAGACACAAACGUUCCUUUAGUUCUCUUUUAGCACGCACUAAGCGUUUCAAGAACACUUUUA